RNAcentral lists this ribosomal RNA (527 nucleotides) under uncultured bacterium. RNAcentral's name for it is "bacterial SSU rRNA". It matches the Rfam family "Bacterial small subunit ribosomal RNA", at positions 355 to 896 of the family's 1533-position model. The record is from RNAcentral.
UGGGGAAUAUUGCACAAUGGGCGAAAGCCUGAUGCAGCGACGCCGCGUGAGUGAGGAAGUAUUUCGGUAUGUAAAGCUCUAUCAGCAGGGAAGAAAGAAAUGACGGUACCUGAGUAAGAAGCUCCGGCUAAAUACGUGCCAGCAGCCGCGGUAAUACGUAUGGAGCAAGCGUUAUCCGGAUUUACUGGGUGUAAAGGGAGCGUAGGCGGCAGAGCAAGUCUGAUGUGAAAGCCCGGGGCUCAACCCCGGUAGUGCAUUGGAAACUGUUCAGCUUGAGUGUCGGAGGGGUAAGCGGAAUUCCUGGUGUAGCGGUGAAAUGCGUAGAUAUCAGGAAGAACACCGGAGGCGAAGGCGGCUUACUGGACGAUUACUGACGCUGAGGCUCGAAAGCGUGGGGAGCGAACAGGAUUAGAUACCCUGGUAGUCCACGCUGUAAACGAUGAAUACUAGGUGUCGGUACCCGAAGGGUAUCGGUGCCGUCGUAAACGCAUUAAGUAUUCCACCUGGGGAGUACGUUCGCAAGAAUG